This 73-nucleotide transfer RNA is filed under the name Agathobacter rectalis. RNAcentral describes it as "[Eubacterium] rectale tRNA-Val". It matches the Rfam family "tRNA". Rfam says of the family: Transfer RNA (tRNA) molecules are approximately 80 nucleotides in length. Their secondary structure includes four short double-helical elements and three loops (D, anti-codon, and T loops). Lineage: Bacteria; Bacillati; Bacillota; Clostridia; Lachnospirales; Lachnospiraceae. The record is from RNAcentral.
GCGAUCUUAGCUCAGCUGGGAGAGCAUCUGCCUUACAAGCAGAGGGUCACAGGUUCGAGCCCUGUAGGUCCCA